Molecule: unclassified non-coding RNA, 204 nt
Filed under: Hevea brasiliensis (rubber tree)
Lineage: Eukaryota; Viridiplantae; Streptophyta; Magnoliopsida; Malpighiales; Euphorbiaceae
Source: RNAcentral
AUGUCAGUCAGAUGAUCUGUAAAAACGUACAAAUAUCCAGAGGGCAAACUAUCGGUCACUGUGAGAUGCCUUUCAUUGGUGGACUAAACAUACAGUACAUUGUGGAGAUGAAAAACAUGCCUUUAACACGUCAUGGACUUGAAGCUUGGAGUUUUAACCACAGUGAGCGAAUGUGCUCUGACUGUGGGCUUUGUGCUGAGCGAG